Molecule: long non-coding RNA, 1426 nt
Filed under: Papio anubis (olive baboon)
Lineage: Eukaryota; Metazoa; Chordata; Mammalia; Primates; Cercopithecidae
Description: lncRNA (ENSPANG00000038813.1)
Source: RNAcentral
AUGGCACUGGAUGUCUGCGGAGGCUUGUGUCUAGAAGGAAUGAAAAGAUAUGCCAGUAACAGCAGUGUCUCCUCAUUCUCAAUGCUCAGGCCUCAUGUGGCACCUGUUUUGCACGGAGACAAGCACAUGCAGAAAAAAGUUGUAAAAGUGGAAGUAAACGUGGUUUCAGAAGAGAAUUGAGAAAAUCUUAGGUAAGACUCUGGUAUAAGACAUUGUGGGAAUUAAACACCCUACUAGAGAUCUAGGGGAAAGCACCAAGAGCAAGUCAAAUACUAGAAUAGGAGAUAGAAUCCCUUUUCCUGGGGAGGUUCAAGAAUCCAAAACAGCCAUAUUCAGGAUGCAGUUUCAGGUAUCAGCAUCAGAACUAGGUCCAAAUCCAAGAUCUGGUUGUAGAUCAGGCUACACAGAGCAGAAGCUUUAGAGUCAGUCAUGGAACCAGUACCAAUGGAAUGGAAAUAGGAAUAGUUAAUUACUGUCUUUAGGAAAUGGGGCUUUUGAAAUGGGCCAAGAGAGUCAGGCAGGAUUGACUGGUUAUAGUAUUGGCUUGGCCUUCCUCAGGCCCAGAAGACCUGGACAGAAGUGAUUAGCCAUGGAGACUAUAACUUCCACAUGGAAAAUACUUAGAGAGAAUUUAGUUUGGUUCAGAAGAACUCCAUAUUCUCCUUUAUCAACUAUACUUGAAGUUGAGUUGAUGGCAGCAGAAGUGUGAUUUCAAACUCCCUUUACUAGUGAAGAGAAAGCAUUCCCUAUUUCCUCUACUGAGUUAGGAUUGUUUAUGGGACCCUAUGGGGCAGCCUGUGGAUUAUUCCAUAUUCAUUGUGGACAGUGGGGAUGGUCUGGGAUUUGUCAUAGACUGAUAUUGGAGAAUUGGAAAGGCUAAGGAAAGAUAUUUCAGUUUUAUAAUGAAGGUCCAAAAUUAAUCUGGAGGCCAGAGGGACCCAGAAAAGAAAAUAAAAAUGAGAAUUACUAAUGAGUGGAUCUUUGCCAUUGGUAAAAAUCUGGGUCACUUAUAGCUGUAUUUUUCCAUCUGUGCUUUUGUCUGUGGGCUUUGAUAGCAUAGUUGUCUAAUAAGUGUUUCAGCAUCUGAAUCUGACAAUAGAUAUCAUUCCAGAAUACAAUUGUUAUGUAACAAAGAUUCUGUAUUCUGGAGAAAAAAGUCAAUCAACACAAUUUUAAGCUUUCUAUGUCUUUUGUUUGCAGGGAUUCAGGCAUAAACAAGCAUUUGUCAUUCGAUUCUUCUAGUGCAUUUCCAGCAUAGUGUGCCUUGGGCAUGACACAUCAGGGUCUGAUGUUUAUCUUUUAUUACCUGCCAGACCUCUCUGGAAAAGCCUCCAUGGAAUUCAUCAUCUGCAGUCUUUGUUGUAGGUACACAUAUAAAUACAUGUUGAACGCAUUCGUUGAGGAUAUUGUGGUUUCUAAAGCUGAA